Molecule: ribosomal RNA, 408 nt
Filed under: uncultured fungus
Lineage: Eukaryota; Fungi
Description: SSU rRNA
Rfam family: Eukaryotic small subunit ribosomal RNA
Source: RNAcentral
AGCAAGCCGCGGUAAUUCCAGCUCCAAUAGCGUAUAUUAAAGUUGUUGCAGUUAAAAAGCUCGUAGUUGAACUUCGGGGUUCUACCCCAUUGGUCAGGGCUUAAUUGUCUGUACUGGUGGAUGGAUCUCGUACCUUCUGAGGAACUUUUCAUGCCAUUUAUUUGGUGUGAUGGGAAAUCAGGACUGUUACUUUGAAAAAUUAGAGUGUUUAAAAGCAGACUAUCGUCUGAAUACAUUAGCAUGGAAUAAUGAAAUAGGACGGACUGAUUCUAUUUCGUUGGUUUCUAGGAUCACCGUAAUGAUUAAUAGGGAUAGUUGGGGGCAUUAGUAUUCAAUUGUCAGAGGUGAAAUUCUUGGAUUUAUUGAAGACUAACUACUGCGAAAGCAUUUGCCAAGGAUGUUUUCAUU